GCCUCGGUAGUGCAGUUGGUAGCACGACAAACCGGACAUUUUUAGGUGGCUGUGAGUUCGAGUCCCACCUGGGACU
RNAcentral lists this transfer RNA (76 nucleotides) under Dictyocaulus viviparus (bovine lungworm). It matches the Rfam family "tRNA". Rfam says of the family: Transfer RNA (tRNA) molecules are approximately 80 nucleotides in length. Their secondary structure includes four short double-helical elements and three loops (D, anti-codon, and T loops). The record is from Rfam by way of RNAcentral. Lineage: Eukaryota; Metazoa; Nematoda; Chromadorea; Rhabditida; Metastrongylidae.